CAGCAGCCACGGGAAUACGUAGGUGACAAGCGUUGUCCGGAAUUAUUGGGCGUAAAGGGCUCGCAGGCGGUUUCUAAAGUCUGAUGUGAAAGCCCCCGGCUCAACCGGGGAGGGUCAUUGGAAACUGGGAAACUUGAGUGCAGAAGAGGAGAGUGGAAUUCCACGUGUAGCGGUGAAAUGCGUAGAGAUGUGGAGGAACACCAGUGGCGAAGGCGACUCUCUGGUCUGUAACUGACGCUGAGGAGCGAAAGCGUGGGGAGCGAACAGGAUUAGAUACCCCCGUAGUCCCUGUCUCUUAUAC
Molecule: ribosomal RNA, 301 nt
Filed under: uncultured bacterium
Lineage: Bacteria
Description: partial 16S ribosomal RNA
Rfam family: Bacterial small subunit ribosomal RNA
Source: RNAcentral